Molecule: long non-coding RNA, 1332 nt
Filed under: Mytilus galloprovincialis (Mediterranean mussel)
Lineage: Eukaryota; Metazoa; Mollusca; Bivalvia; Mytilida; Mytilidae
Source: RNAcentral
AUUUGGGAAUAUUACAGAUUUUACAUGCGUACUUGUGCAAUUAACAUUUCUCAUGUAUGGCAUAAUAUUUUGAGGGACAAUACAUAAUGAUCUCCUUAAGGUGGUAUCAAAUAACCUUGACUAAAAACAAAUGGGCUUGUGUAUUCUUCAUAAAAUUUGGACAAAAUAUUCACUUUCACCCUUUGACAAAAAAUUUAAUAAAAUCAAAAUUAGAACCACAAACUUUACCAGAAAAAUUUCAUUGGAUAUAUGUCGUUUGAAAAACUGAUUUUAAUCAUUGAGAAACGUAAUUGAAAAUAGAACGUGAUUUAAAUGUUCAGCUGAUUUUUACACAGUUAUCUCCCUGUAGUAUUAUUUAUACCACCUUUAUGGUAGUUUUGAUAAUUUGUUAUUAAGGAUUUUUGUAUAUAUCUAGAUAUCUAAUGAAUCAAUGUUUCUCAAAUGUACCGAGUCAGCCUUCAGGAAUAUGACAUGUGAGCUGCGUCGGAUAGAAAUCAACCUUAUACAAAUCAACACCAAUACAUAUAUAUACCUAUUUCAUUUUUUUUUUUUUAAAUUAACAGAAAGUCUGGGACUGUUUGCAUGUUGCAUAAUUAAUCGAAUGCUACCAAACUGCAUCUUUUAUUUCAUUGUCUUUUGUAUAUGAAUGUUCCAAAAUCAAUCAGAUUCUUAGGGACGACAUCAAAAGUUCAAUGUAGGAUAAAAAACUUAAUUCACAUAGUUUUUUACUGACCCCCCCCCCCCCCUCCCUCUUAACUUAAUUUGGGAAAAAUUGAUUUAUCAAUAGGGAUAUAUAUGUAAAAAUCGAUUUUAGAUAUACAAAACUUGCAGAAUUUUAACCCCCACCCCCAAACUUUUUCAUUUAAGUUUUUUAUCCUACAUCAAUCUUUUGAUGUAGUCCCUUAUACAUAUUCAUAUUAACGUACACUUGCAUAAGGUCGAUUUCUAUCUGACGUAGCCCAUUUGUUAUCCAUUCUUUUGAUGUGGUUGAGCUUUUCAUUUGGCGAUUUUAUAAAGGACCUUUUGUUUUGAAUUUUUCCUCCGAGUUUGGUACUUUUUUUUUUUUACCAAGAAAUGAAGACAAAAUGUAUUAAAAAGCACUGAUUUUAGGCAUGUCAAGUGUUAAAGUAAUUUAACAACAAUUACUCUGAUAAUGUUGCAAGUGACAAUGUCAGCCACAUUGAAUAUUCGAAAAAAAAUUCCUAUAGUUUCAGAGGAGAUAAUAUAUGUACAAGUUAAUGGCAUUUAAAACUGAGGAAUGGAAAAUAAUGAAGUCUUAGUCAAAGUUUAUGUAUGCAUUCUAAAUAAAUAACUAUUUUCUGUAACUAUGUU